This 258-nucleotide ribosomal RNA is filed under the name uncultured bacterium. RNAcentral describes it as "partial 16S ribosomal RNA". It matches the Rfam family "Bacterial small subunit ribosomal RNA", at positions 57 to 305 of the family's 1533-position model. The record is from RNAcentral.
GCAAGUCGAACGAGAGGAAGGAAAGCUUGCUUUCCUGAAUCUAGUGGCCAACGGGUGAGUAACACGUAGGUAACCUGCCCAUGUGCCCGGGAUAACUUCUGGAAACGGAUGCUAAAACCGGAUAGGUAGCAGACAAGCAUUUGACUGCUAUUAAAGUGGCCUUGGCCAUGAACAUGGAUGGACCUGCGGUGCAUUAGCUGGUUGGUGAGGUAACGGCCCACCAAGGCGACGAUGCAUAGCCGGCCUGAGAGGGCGAGC